UAAGGAAUAUUGGUCAAUGGACGCAAGUCUGAACCAGCCAUGCCGCGUGAAGGAUGAAGGUCCUCUGGAUUGUAAACUUCUUUUAUCUGGGACGAAAACGGGAUUUUUAUCUCAAUUGACGGUACCAGAGGAAUAAGCACCGGCUAACUCCGUGCCAGCAGCCGCGGUAAUACGGAGGGUGCGAGCGUUAAUCGGAAUUACUGGGCGUAAAGCGUGCGCAGGCGGUUUUGUAAGUCAGAGGUGAAAUCCCCGGGCUCAACCUGGGAACUGCCUUUGUGACUGCAAAGCUGGAGUGCGGCAGAGGGGGAUGGAAUUCCGCGUGUAGCAGUGAAAUGCGUAGAUAUGCGGAGGAACACCGAUGGCGAAGGCAAUCCCCUGGGCCUGCACUGACGCUCAUGCACGAAAGCGUGGGGAUCAAACA
This 421-nucleotide ribosomal RNA is filed under the name uncultured bacterium. RNAcentral describes it as "bacterial SSU rRNA". It matches the Rfam family "Bacterial small subunit ribosomal RNA", at positions 355 to 774 of the family's 1533-position model. The record is from RNAcentral.